AAUAUCUUAAUUUGUGUUCCGAAGAUUAACGAAGGUCUUACGGGUGUGGAACGGCAUGAGGUGCAGUGCAGUCCAGUCGCGCUCUCCUAUUAUAGAUGACCCUUAUUGGAAUGAAACUGUGUUGUGUCCAUCACACAUGUGGCCUGCGGUGGAUGCUGGGAAAAGCAUGUGCGGACGACCAGAUUUUGACAGCAAACCACCAGUCAACCUUACAGGCAGACUUUGUGAGCAGAGCAAGCGUGCAAACGGACCGUGAGUGCUGGAACACACAUCUGAUGGAGGCAGGAGGCCGUAGGACAUUAUCAGCAAGAUAAUAUUGUCAGCGGCUGAUGUAAAUUGCAGGGCGACAUAGUCAACAGACAUGGCUGAGUGGCUGCAGUGUGUCGAGGCCGUGACACUGACAAAUGGAAUAUUUUUGGAGGGCUUAAUCGCUGGAAAUGGGGUUCUGUCUGAUGGUGACAUGCACACCCCCGCUCCAAUGGCCGCAAAAAAGAAAACUGAUUGUCUGGGCCGCUCACUCAAUCUCACCUCCUUCAACCUUGCACCUCCUCCCUUUCCAAACACACACACACACACACACACACACACAGAUAACAAUUGGUUUUUCCCUCGCUGUAAACAGAAGGAGGCCUGAAAUGCAAAACCACAUUCAUUUGAUUCAUUAAAUAGGGAAAUUAAGAAGCUGCUCUGUUUAUUCAUUCCAUUCCAGAGGAAAAUUGUAUUGCUCAGAGAUGGCCUUUUCAUAGCUCGGGGCACUUAAUGGAGUGAAAAUUAACCAUUUUCUCUUAAAAUCAAUGAUUUUUAAUAUAAAAUAAAUAAAAUGUGAAAUGGUAAAAUACUUAAGUUUUCUCAUGAGAUCAGGGGUGUGUUUCCCAAAAGCAUCGUUAGCCAACUAACAUCAUCGCAAGUUCCGAGGUUACUAACAUAGUUCAGCGAUUUCGUGUUUCCCAAAACCAUAGUUCAAAUGAACAUUUGCAAACAGCAUCGCAAACUUGUGUUUUCUCUCGAGCUGUGGUUAGAAGCAUAGUUUCUUAUUUUUAUGACAUGUGGACUUAAUAAAUCGUUAUCUUGAGCAAAAUAAGCAAGCUGACAUUAAGUACAAUGUAUAUCUUUUAUUUAUAUACUGUAUGCAAAUGUCAUUUACAUAUUUUAGUUUAAGAGAUUUUAAGCACCAUUUUUGUCAUGCUCUAGUAGGCCUAAGAAUGAGCUUAUGAUUGAAUCUGGAAAUGAAGCAAAAUAACUGAGAAAAAUGAGAAUUAGUCCUCAGAUGCCAUGUCUGUAAUUUAUAGCAAAAUAUCUAGCAUUAAUUCGAUCUCAAACUGAUUAAUUUAAAGAAGUUAUUACUCCACCACCUGUGUGACAUCAUUCACCAACGUGGCUGAACGACAUGUUUGCGACAAUACGGUUUCGGGAAACAGUCGUGACUAGCUAGUUGAUUUGUUCAACGAUGCAUCGUACUAGUGAAGCAGCGAGUUACGUUGUACUGGAAAUGCACCCCUGGUUGGUUUGACUGCAAUCCCACAUUAAUUUGUUAUGAUUUUUCAUUAAAAUUACUGCAGUAACUAACUUAUAAUUUUUAUAAGGGAUGCUCGAAGUCAAAUUUGCUCUCAAAUUAGAGAGUUUAUUUCUUUAUCUCAAGAGAACAGAGCUGAUUAAGAGAAUUUAGAAUUGUUUUUUUUUUUUUGUUUUUUUAUUAUGAAAUGGGUAAACUCUGGUCCACACUCCCAUACAGUAGGUGGCGAUAAUGUACCUUAACGUUGGUGCCACCUGCCAUAAAAAGAAAGAAAUUUACUUAAUGAGUACGCUAGUUUUCCAAAUCUAUUCAAUGACUAUUCACAAUCUCUCAGUUCAGUGUUUUAACAACAAUGUUUGAGUGUAAUUAUUUGAUCAAGGUAUAACAUGCAUUUUGGAAGCUCCGGCUUCACUUUAUUUUCAUGUUCAAACAUGUUUUUCAUGUUGAAGAGUACAUCUCACAGUGGUGUGCUGAGCAACUGUCACUUGUGCCAGAUUUGGGACAUCUUCAGGAUGAGGUAAUGCACUUUAAAACUAUUUAAAACUAGAUAUGGGAUUGUUCAAAUGAAAACUGAGAUGAACCCUUUAAGCCCUGAAUGCAUUUUUAGAGUUGUUUUUUUCUGAGUGACACAAAAGUAAAGACUCAUAACUCCAAAACUUUAGCAAAGAGAGUCAAAAGGUAGGUAUCACCUGAAAAUGUAUUACAUUUGAACAUUCUCAUGCUGAGAAUAUUUUUUUUUUUUCAUAUCUUUCUUAUUUGACAUGCAAUAACUAAAGGUAAUAAGGUAGGAGGACCAUUCUUUUUUUGGUGAAGUUCCCCUACAUGUGAGCUGCAUCUGGUUCAAAUUUUGUGGUGAUAGCAUAAAGUAAUCAUAAGUUACAGCAUUUUGUUUAGCUCUUGACGCCUUGACCUCUGGCAGUACACUUUGGGCUUAAAGGGUUAAUCAGAAAAUCAAUAUUUUUACUCAGUCCUACUAUAUUUCUGCAUCAAACAAAUGGAAUAUUUUGCCUAGAAUAAUGAGUAUAUUUAUUAUUUAACAUUGGCUGAAAUGCUACUCAUAAUGCGUUUCACCAACUUUGUUCAUAAAUCUUGCGAUGUGAAGUUAUGGCUAGCAAGCGCUUUUGUGCUUUAUUCUUCAGAGCACUAUAACCACGAGCUGAAAAUGAACACUUUUCAUCUCAAUGAUGUCUGUGAUUAGAAAAGUUGGGAUUUUAUGGUCUUAUAGUUUCUUGUAAUGAUUUUGAUAAUAAUAGCUUGUGGCCUUGUGGAGUGAAUGUCGGUGUCUGGGGCCGAAAUAAACCUCUCAGGUUGAGAAACAGGAGCUAUGCUUUAU
This is a long non-coding RNA of Megalobrama amblycephala (Wuchang bream), 2846 nucleotides long. RefSeq lists it as uncharacterized. The record is from RefSeq and is a predicted model, not a curated record. Lineage: Eukaryota; Metazoa; Chordata; Actinopteri; Cypriniformes; Xenocyprididae. The transcript is spliced from 3 exons.